RNAcentral lists this long non-coding RNA (253 nucleotides) under Hordeum vulgare. RNAcentral describes it as "long non-coding RNA (HVUL_LNC015288)". The record is from RNAcentral. Lineage: Eukaryota; Viridiplantae; Streptophyta; Magnoliopsida; Poales; Poaceae.
UUAUGCACAUAUCUAGAUAGGUCUUGAUUUUUGGAGUAUCUAGGAUUUUGAAUCAUCACUUUUGGAGCUACUAUGAAUUAGAUAUGAAUUUUCUAAUCCCACUGGUAAUAAGAAAAAGAGAAAUGAUUACCUAGAUAGGCCAAUCUCAUUGAGCAGCACCGCGCAGUGGCGCGAGACAGAAAUGGGCCGGCGCAUUGGCUCAACUGCGGGAGAGGCCGGGGCGACACCGGAGGCGCGUUCCAGGAAAUGUGCC